CAGCGAUAAGGGAACCUCGAGUGCCAGGUUACAAAUCUGGCUGUCGAGAUGCCUAAAAAGCAUUUCAUAGCAAGGGCGGGUCAAGACCGGUGCCAGCCGCCGCGGUAACACCGGCGGCUCGAGUGGUAACCGUUAUUAUUGGGUCUAAAGGGUCUGUAGCCGGCCGGCUAAGUCUCUUGAGAAAUCUGGCAGCUUAACUGUCCGGCUUUCAGGAGAUACUGUCUGGCUCGAGGCCGGGAGAGACAAGAGGUACUUCAGGGGUAGGGGUGAAAUCUUGUAAUCCUUGAAGGACCAACCGUGGCGAAGGCGUCUCACACGAACGGACCUGACGGCAAGGGACGAAAGCUAGGGGCACGAACCG
RNAcentral lists this ribosomal RNA (361 nucleotides) under uncultured bacterium. Its description in RNAcentral is "bacterial SSU rRNA". It matches the Rfam family "Archaeal small subunit ribosomal RNA", at positions 365 to 726 of the family's 1478-position model. The record is from RNAcentral.